RNAcentral lists this long non-coding RNA (2852 nucleotides) under Ricinus communis (castor bean). RNAcentral describes it as "long non-coding RNA (RCOM_LNC001365)". Lineage: Eukaryota; Viridiplantae; Streptophyta; Magnoliopsida; Malpighiales; Euphorbiaceae. The record is from RNAcentral.
GCCGUCCUCCCCGCCGCCGCCGACAUCGACCAAAGGCUAGGGGGAGGCUGCCAUCGUCGGUUCGGCCUCCUGCCGGCGUCCUUUCCGCAAACCGACACCGGAAUCGGACUCCCCAUCCCCAAAAACCCCGGAAGCAACCCUCCUCCGUCGGAAAAUCCUUGCCGGCAGCCUUGGGAAGUGUCGCGUGAGCAGCGACUUUCCGGCCCCGAUCCGCCGCCUUCCGGCCACUUUCCGGCCAAAACUCUUGUAUUUCUGGACUCCCCGCAACUUGAGCUUCGCAUAGGCGCUUCCGGAUUUGAAUUCCGACACUGUUGGCAAGACCGGCUUCCGGACCCGUUGUUUCUGGACGCGCGAAAUAUUUCAAUUUUUAACUCGGUAUAAUUUUAUUUAGACUCUGAAAAAUUUUGUUUUAAUAUUAGAAAGUUAUUGUGGCUAUUAAUUGCUUGUGAUGGGUAGUUUAAAAAUAAACCAAAUUAAAUUGUUUGGGUUGUGGUGUUUUGGAGUCGGGAAAAUAUCAGUGCAGUUCUUGUGGGCCGGCUCCUGUUAUUAAAUUCCAGCAUGUCUGAUAUGUUUUUGGCAGGUCCUGGACCCGUUUUACGGGGGGUAAAUAUCCGUAAUUUAGGGGAGGUUCUGUCAAAUUUUCGGCAGAAUUCUCGAGUCCAAUUUAAUUCUAGGCAGUCGACCUUAGUGUCUAAGUCUAGGAAAAAUUUUCGAAUGUCUAUUAAUUGUAUGUCUUUUGUUAUUAGAUAAUUCAGCCUUCCCGCCAGCUCCACCCGAGGCGUAGGAGCGGACUGUGGAACGCAUCAAGUCUGUGAGUUAAAGUCAUUUAAUCUUUGCGCUAUUGCUAGUCUGAUUUUAAUAUGCUAUUUAGAAUUUAUGCUUAAUAUGAUUAUUAGUAUCGCAAAAUAAAUGAUUUCACUUGAUUAUUAAUAUUUGAAAUAAUAUAAAUAUUAUUAUUAGUAUGUUAUAAUAAGAUAAACGUUAUUAUUUUUUCCCUCACAAAUUGCACGUUGUUUUACCUUAAAUCUUUAAUCUUUAUUUCGAUAUGUGUUGGUUGAGUUCGUUAGAUAAUGAUAUUUAUUAUAUGUGAUGAUUGCGAAUUGGGAAAUGUGGCUUGUAGAACAUGCCGCCUGAUGGGUUACAUCAGGACCGCGUGCACACCGGUAAUGAUCAUGGGCAUGUAAUAAGAUAUUUUUGGGUUUGCCCUGGUCGAGCAUGGCUCUCUGGGCUGAUUUGUAUAAAUUGCCGGAGGUAAGGUCUCUGGUUGAGCAUUACUCUCGGGGCGCCGGCUUAUUUGGAUACUUAAGUGAUCAGACUGGAGGUAAGGUCCCUGGUCGAGCAUUGCUCUCGGGGCGCCAGUCUUAUUGGAUUAAGAGAGCCGAAUGGCUACUAGAUUUCUUAUUUGGAUACUUAAGUGACUAGACUGGAGGUAAGGUCCCUGGUCGAGCAUUGCUCUCGGGGCGCCAGUCUUAUUGGAUUAAGAGAGCCAAAAUGGCUGUUAGAAUUUGGGGUUAGGGUUUUACUUAGCCACAUGUCCCGUGAAAGUAAAAAUGUCUUUAUUUAUUUACACUCCCUCCUUUUAUCAUUUUAUUAUUAUAGUGUAUGAUUUUAUAUUAUGAUUGCAAUUAUAUUCAGAAAUUGGUAUAUUGUUUUGAAUAAUUAAUAUAUCAUGUGAAGGUUGCAAUAGUCCUUAGAUUAUUUGAUUUUGACUCACUCUCGAGACUGACAGUCUCAGCUGUAAUUUUUUUUUUCCAGGUGGCAGUUAAAGACCUUCGCCAUUGCACAUUUGACAGUCCGACUUCUUCUUCUUCGUACUUUUGUAAUUAUCUUGUACUUCUAUACUUGUUAUUAUUACUCUAGAGUAUCCGCAGUAGGAAAUUUUAAAAUUUAUAUAACGAUUUUUGACUCAUGUUGGUAAUAUAAUGAUUUAUUAUGCAAGACAAUUAUGACUACUUUAUAUUUUGAUAAUUGUAAAUCUGGUUUUGCGGGUUGGUAAGGCUUACUACGGGUUUUGGUGGCCUUAAGCCUACCCAUUCCCUAGUGCCGCCCAUUCCCUAGUGCCGGUCACGGGCCCAUAAAGUGGGUCGUGACAGAUGGUUAAUGAAUAAUGUAAAUUUUCUAAAAAAAUAUGGUUUUUAUUAUAUUUUAACAUAUUAAAUUUUAAAAUGUAAUUCAAAUUUAAACUUAUUAUAUUUUUUAUAUAUUUGUGUUUGCAUAUGGGCAAUAUAUUCUUAAUCUUUUGCAGAAAAUUUGCAUGUCUAUAAUAAUUAUGUUAAUUUAAAAUCAAAAGGUAUAUUUAAUGAUAAUGCAACAAUAAAUAGUUCAUAUGUUUUAAUAUUAAUUAUUAUCACAUAUAUAUCAUAUUAAUUUAUUAAAUAUACAUAAAAAAUAUAAUAAACAAUUUAUUUGAAGUAUUUGAUCAAAGUGGGAAGUAAACUUUAAGUAAUAUAAGACAUAAAAAAAAAUUAUAUACGAAGAAUAUGCUAGUCAACCUUCAAAAUAGAAAAAGUGAAUAAAAUCCGUAAAAAAAACUGGCCAUUAGUUUUACAAUUAAUUUGUAUUAUUAUUAUAAAUUAAUAAUAUUUUUAAAAGAUAAAUAUUAAAUCUUAUUAAUAAUAAUAUCUGAAAAAAAUAUUCUCUUAAAAUAAAUAUUUUAUAUUAAUUUAUUAAUAUUCUAAAAAUAUAUUGAAAUCUUUUUAGCAGGUUACAGAUUGAUUGAAUGAAUAAAACUUAAUGAUUAAAAUUUGAAAAGAUAAAUCUAAUAGUUCAUGUGACACCAAAUAAUGAGGCGAAUGUGUUAUUUAUUUAUUUUAUUUAGUAUUCACAUAAGUAUAAGUUACAAGUCAUGUAGU